RNAcentral lists this long non-coding RNA (250 nucleotides) under Ananas comosus (pineapple). Its description in RNAcentral is "long non-coding RNA (ACOM_LNC013381)". Lineage: Eukaryota; Viridiplantae; Streptophyta; Magnoliopsida; Poales; Bromeliaceae. The record is from RNAcentral.
UUAAGAUACUAUAUUAGGCAACGCUGUAUUCAGAUCAGUUGGCUAGUGCACACUGAUGAUUAAUAUCAGGGUAAUACAGGUUCAUAAAGAGAGAAUAAAUAAUAUACAUCAGCCAUUAUAGAUAUGUUAUGACGAGUUAUUCUAGAGUGACAUGCCGUACAAGCAGGUGGUGGUAAUGUAUAAUCAAAUAUGAAAAAAAAUAAAGCAGGAUAAAAAAUUAAAAGAAAUAUAGAAAGAAAAAGAAAGGUAU